Molecule: ribosomal RNA, 360 nt
Filed under: Tomentella intsiae
Lineage: Eukaryota; Fungi; Basidiomycota; Agaricomycetes; Thelephorales; Thelephoraceae
Also listed under: 1 other name
Description: eukaryotic LSU rRNA
Rfam family: Eukaryotic large subunit ribosomal RNA
Source: RNAcentral
UUGAUCUCAAAUCAGGUAGGACUACCCGCUGAACUUAAGCAUAUCAAUAAGCGGAGGAAAAGAAACUAACAAGGAUUCCCCUAGUAACUGCGAGUGAAGCGGGAAGAGCUCAAAUUUAAAAUCUGGCGUGCCUCUGGUCGUCCGAGUUGUAGUCUGGAGAAGCGUUUUCUGUGUUGGACCGUGUAUAAGUCUCUUGGAACAGGGCGUCAUAGAGGGUGAGAAUCCCGUCUUUGACACGGACUGCCAAUGCUUUGUGAUGCGCUCUCAAAGAGUCGAGUUGUUUGGGAAUGCAGCUCAAAAUGGGUGGUAAAUUCCAUCUAAAGCUAAAUAUGGGCGAGAGACCGAUAGCGAACAAGUACG